GUCCUUUGUAAAAUUUAAGGUCUAGUCUGCCCUCUGAUUUUUGAAUGGCCGCGGUAUUUUGACCGUGCUAAGGUAGCAUAAUCAUUAGUUUUUUAAUUGAAAGCUGGAAUGAAGGGCUGGAUGAAAAAGAAACUGUUUUUAUUUAAUUAAAUUAAAAUUUUAUUUUUAAGUUAAAAAGCUUAAAUUAAAUUAAAAGACGAGAAGACCCUAUAGAGUUUAAUAAUUAAAUUUAUAUUUAAGUUAGUAUUUAUUUUAUUAUAAUUUAUAGUUAUUUAAUUGGGGUGAUUAAAAAAUUUAUUUAACUUUUUUAUAUUUUUAUAUUAAUUUAUAUAUUUUUGAUCCAAUAAUUUUGAUUAAAAGAUAAAAUUACCUUAGGGAUAACAGCGUUAUUUUAUUAGAGAGUUCUAAUCGAUAAUAAAGUUUGCGACCUCGAUGUUGGAUUAAAGUUUAUAAUUGGUGUAGAAGCUACAUUAGUAAGUCUGUUCGACU
RNAcentral lists this ribosomal RNA (489 nucleotides) under Schematiza flavofasciata. Its description in RNAcentral is "partial 16S ribosomal RNA". The record is from RNAcentral. Lineage: Eukaryota; Metazoa; Arthropoda; Insecta; Coleoptera; Chrysomelidae.